AAGGGCAGCAGCCUUUGCCUGGACAGGCUCCAGCAGGGCUCGGGCAGCGCCGAGCUCCGCCAGCAGGGCCGGUGCUUUGAUCGCGGCUGCCCCGAGCCAUCGCACACCGGGCUCUGAAACGCGCCCCGCACCAACAGCCCCGCCAGGAAAACUCCUUCUCCCGGCUUUUCUGCCGCGAGCGAGCUCCGAUAGGCAUCGCCGAGAAUAAAGUCACUUCAUUUACAAACCGGGGAGCCAAAUCUGAUAGACAUCAACAUUCGAGGGGGAAAGGAAGGAAUGGAAGAGAUGGAAUUCUUUGUGAAGCUGAGUCGCUUUAGGGAGCGAUUUUGGGGGCAGGAGGGUGUCCGUGUCCCCCAGCAGCCAAGGGGGAAACCAGAAGGUCUGGGAACCAGAGGAGCAGCCCCAGGAGCACCUUCUCCACACCCUAUAACCAGCAAGUACCACACAGCAGCAAAAUCCCAUUAUUUAGCCACUUUGGAGAGGCAAAGAUGCUUUUAAUAUACAAUUGCACCUCGGAAGCAUAAAGGCAGCACAUUAAAUAACAAAGCAAUUGACUGCUGGGUCCCUUUGCUGGGCCACAAAAACCGGGGCUCAGUGGCUAAUUAUUGCUGGGCAUCCCUGUGCCUCUCCAAACAUACCAAUGCUUUCAGAAACCCACCCCAGCUGUGCCUGACAUUUCACUCCUAUUAAAAUUCAUCAUUCUCCUGAAUGGAAAUAAUUUUUUUCUUUAGCAAACCCAGGUAGUAAUGAAAGUUUUAUUUAGUAAUGCAGUGUUUGGUGGGAAAAGGGGCAGAGAAAAGGGAAGAGAAAUUGAGAUUAUCUUUUUAAAAAGGGAACUUCAGCUGGGGGGAAAGAUAUUGCUGGGUAUUUCUUGGGCGCAGGGGGCCAUUUUCGGUGCCAUGAUGGGGGUUUGGUGUCACAGCUCUCGUUAACGCUAAUGGGAUCAGAACAGCAAAACACCUGGAAAAAAGCUGUAACACAAACACAGGUGAUGCAGCGAGGCUGGAGCCGGGCGGGUCCGGGGGAUGUGUGAGAGGAGCGGUGAUUUGUAUCGGAUUGUGCCACAUUAAAGCAGGACCAGAGCAGCGGUACCGGCCCCGGCCCCGGGCGCUGCUCCCGGCUCCGCCACCGCCUUCCCCCGCGGCAUUCCCGGCGCUUUGAGCCGCCCUUUCCCAGCCCGCCCGGCACAGCAGGGAAGGGUUUGGGGUUUAUCUUCCCUGGGGAACCCGCGCCCUCCCGGGGGCGGUGGCUGCGGGCUCAGCUCUCCCACACGAGCCCUUCUCCUCGUCGGGACAAAAAACGGUCCAGGGACAGCUAAAGAUGAUUUGGGCCGAUCCCAAAGGAUGGAUGCAUCUCAAGAUACCCGAGAGACAGGUCGUGAACAGCCGGAGGAGGAUGGGGGGGCUGGGGCAGCGCAGCUCAUCCUCCUUCAUCCUCCAUCCCACCUCCUCCUCCUCCUCCCGGAGCGCGGGCGUGGGAACCCCUGCGGGGCGGCCGGAGGGCUUUGAUCUCAGCCUGAGCGCUGGAGCGACACAACCAGCGAUGAAAGGGCACGGCAGUGCCAUGAGGAGGCGUUCCGUGAGGGAAGGAGCUACCGAGCAGCGUGCUUGGGACGUGGGCACCGUGUCAGCCUCAGGGCGCUCUCCCCUUCCACCCUCGUGCGAAUGGGCAGAAUUGCAAAUACCCAAAAUAAUCGAGGAUGGGCGGCACUGCAAAAGCAGCUGCUGUGCCCCUGUGAUGCCAUGGAAAAAGAGAGCAGCUGCUGGGAAUGGGGAAGGAUGGAGGCAACCCUGGGACUGACCCAAAGCCGUCCCUGUGUCCUGCAAGCCCCCCUGAGCACCUGCCCAUUUCCAAACCCUCUGCAAAAGGAGUCACAUCUCACCCCCUUUUCCCUGAGGCCUCCCAGAGCUUCAUCCCCAUCCAGGCACCAGCAGGGCCAUGAUGUGGCACUGCCACCCCGGCACUAAACCCAGCCUGAGACCCUGAACACAGCAGCCUCUGGCUAGCUCCCAAAUGUUUAGGCUGGGGAAUCUGAAGAGUUCAGCUGAAGCACGGUGGGGAAAAAUAAAUAAACCAACCAAUAUGUGCAUGUUCCACAUCUGCCUGUGCAUGGAAGGCCCCACAAGGACACGAUGUGAGGCUCACCUGGCUCCUCAGACAGCACUUGCCAUGGGCUGCACCUCCUGCUGUCAGUCCUGCUUGGCACUAAUUAGCAUUGAUAAUUGCACGGAUGGUGACCAUCAUUUUCCUGCCCUCUCUCCCUACCUUCACACAGGGGUUCAAUUGCCUAAUGAGGCCCCUGAGGAUGAUCAGAAAGGAGCAGGUUCCCCCACCACCACGGCAGCUCCUGCAAAACGUGAGGGGAUGGGAGAGCAGAGAAGAGAAAGGCACAGCCCAGCUGCUGGAUGGGGAAAGCUGCCGAGUCUUGUUUACUCGAGGACACAGAGAAAAGUUCACUCCAAUUAAUUUUUUUAAGUGGAUGGGCGUUAAUCCCCCUACACUUAUCUAGAAUUAAUGCAGCCUUAAGUAGAUUUUUGCCUAAUCCACUUCCACAUCCGCCCCAAAAGGACACUGUCUGUUUUGGGAAGGAGCAGAGUUCAGCUAAUCCACUUAAAAUUCACAGGGCUGGUUUGUUCAGAUUAACCUCCUCCAGCAUUUCCCUCCAGAGACAGGCCAGGAUGGGGCCACCCCCUCCACGGUUGUGUCACCUGCAAUGCAGCUGCUGGGGUCUGCAGGGACACGGAGAUGUCCCCAAAACAGCCACUACAGCAGAGCAGUGCAGCAGGGUGGGACAGCCAGGGGAGUCAGGGCUGUUUGAAUUCCAAUGGCAGAAGAAGCAGCAAUGCUCAGACACAGACAGAAGGGGGGCAGCUAUGCCUGGGCUGGAGGGGUGAUCUAAGUGCUGGUCUGUGGAGGACAGCCAGCCAAAAGUGACAGCCCUGGGACACCACCCCAAGUGCCAGCAGCUCUGACAACCCCAAAAGGCGCAGGUGAAGGGCACCAUGGUCACCAAGACAGGUGCACUGACCUCCCCAGCACUGAUCUGUUGCUCUGACAGGAACCAAGACACCACAGGGAUUGCCAUGGAUGCUCACAGUUCCCACCUCACAUCUCCUCCUGCCAGGCAAAGCAGAGGAGGCCCUCUCCUGAUUGGAGCAGCUCCCCUUUCCAUGUCAAACUCUGGGAAGGCAACACAGCUCAUCAGGGUCCAGUGAUGGACAUGGGCCAGAAGAUCUCCCCAAGACAAAGAGCCAAACCCUGAGGACAUCAGAAAUGUGAGAGCACAACCCAACAGUGGCUCUCACACCUCCCAGACAGGCUUUGGAGGAGACUGAGCUCAGCUGGGACAGGCAGAGCCAUUCUCCCAUGGCAGGAGGAUUGAUGAUCCAAGAUGAUCCCAAAGGAUCCUUCCAAACCCCAAAAAUAUGAAAAAUACAAGCCAAAACAGGUGCAGCAAUGAAAUCACUGAUGGGGUGAAACAACUUGCCACAGGAGUCCAGUCAGUGUGUAGUUGGCUUCUCCCCCAUCAUCACUCAAGAAGUUUCUGGCACUUCCAAAACUCUGAGGAGACUCACUGGGAAUGAUGCAAGUAUUGGAUCACUGUCCACCCUGGCAGGAUCCUUCACAGAGGAGGCACCACAGCAGACAAAGGCCUGAACAUUACAUCCCCUGCAGCUCCUCACACAGUGGGGACAUGGGGACAGCAGGGACAAGCAGCACCUGGAUGAGUGCUGGAGCUGAUGUGAUUCCCUGGGCCCUGCCCUUCCUGCCAGCAGUGCAAGGAGGACGGGUGGCCUUGGAGCUACAGAGCAUUUCUGGGUCUGUAAAUCCAUUCCUCGUCUCAGAAGCUGAUUGAUCCUUUUUUUUAAACUCGGAUUCAAUGUUUAAGAGUAAUGAUUUUCAAGUGAACACAGAGUGGCUCAGAUAUAUUGGCAGUUCUUAUGGAUCAGAGGCAAAAGGCUUAUAAUUCAAACUUUAACAAAGAGGAACGUGUCUGUCCCCAUCUCAGAACAAUGGCAAGGGCUGAUGGAAGGGCAAAAAACCUUUCAUGGGUGAUGCCCAAUGAUUUAUGCCAGACCAUGGGCUGACUGGGAUGUUCCCACAGAGAUGUCCUUGGGAUGCAGGCAAAUUUAUUGAUGAGA
Molecule: long non-coding RNA, 4142 nt
Organism: Prinia subflava (tawny-flanked prinia)
Lineage: Eukaryota; Metazoa; Chordata; Aves; Passeriformes; Cisticolidae
Exons: 3
Source: RefSeq, a predicted model, not a curated record